RNAcentral lists this transfer RNA (69 nucleotides) under Concinnia martini (dark barsided skink). RNAcentral's name for it is "tRNA-His". It matches the Rfam family "tRNA". From Rfam's summary of the family: Transfer RNA (tRNA) molecules are approximately 80 nucleotides in length. Lineage: Eukaryota; Metazoa; Chordata; Lepidosauria; Squamata; Scincidae. The record is from RNAcentral.
GUUAACAUAGUUUAAUAAAAACAUUGGGUUGUGGACCCAAAAAUAGAAGCUUACCUCUUCUUGUUGACC